UGGGGAAUAUUGCACAAUGGGCGCAAGCCUGAUGCAGCCAUGCCGCGUGUGUGAAGAAGGCCUUCGGGUUGUAAAGCACUUUCAGCGAGGAGGAAGGUGGUGAGCUUAAUACGCUCAUCAAUUGACGUUACUCGCAGAAGAAGCACCGGCUAACUCCGUGCCAGCAGCCGCGGUAAUACGGAGGGUGCAAGCGUUAAUCGGAAUUACUGGGCGUAAAGCGCACGCAGGCGGUUUGUUAAGUCAGAUGUGAAAUCCCCGGGCUCAACCUGGGAACUGCAUUUGAAACUGGCAAGCUAGAGUCUCGUAGAGGGGGGUAGAAUUCCAGGUGUAGCGGUGAAAUGCGUAGAGAUCUGGAGGAAUACCGGUGGCGAAGGCGGCCCCCUGGACGAAGACUGACGCUCAGGUGCGAAAGCGUGGGGCAGCAAACAGGAUUAGAUACCCUGGUAGUCCAGCGCUGUAAACGAUGUCGAUUUUGGAGGUUGUGCCCUUGAGGCGUGGCUUCCGGAGCUAACGCGUUAAAUCGACCGCCUGGGGAGUACGGCCGCAAGGUUAAAACUCAAAUGAAUUGACGGGGUC
Molecule: ribosomal RNA, 576 nt
Filed under: uncultured bacterium
Lineage: Bacteria
Description: partial 16S ribosomal RNA
Rfam family: Bacterial small subunit ribosomal RNA
Source: RNAcentral